GUGUGUCCAGUGUGUGUGUCCAGUGUGUGUGUGUGUGUGUCAGGUUAUUAUUUCAGGGACACUGAGGAGUCAUCAUGAACCCUAAACCCUGGAUAGAGGGGCUCAGUGAAUGUGGAGGUGAAUGUGAUCAGGUGGGUCAGUGUUUCAGAGGAGGCUCUAUAGAAGGACAGCGUGCCGGCUGGCCAGUCCAGAUACACUCCUACUCUGUGGGAGCUGGA
Molecule: non-coding RNA, 218 nt
Organism: Salvelinus sp. IW2-2015
Lineage: Eukaryota; Metazoa; Chordata; Actinopteri; Salmoniformes; Salmonidae
Source: RefSeq, a predicted model, not a curated record